UGCAAAUGAUCCCUUAUAGGAGAGGCUGGU
Molecule: non-coding RNA, 30 nt
Filed under: Rattus norvegicus (Norway rat)
Lineage: Eukaryota; Metazoa; Chordata; Mammalia; Rodentia; Muridae
Source: RNAcentral